UACGUAGGGUGCGAGCGUUGUCCGGAAUUAUUGGGCGUAAAGGGCUCGUAGGCGGUUUGUCGCGUCGGGAGUGAAAACUCACAACUCAAUUGUGGGCGUGCGGGCGAUACGGGCAGACUGGAGUACUGCAGGGGAGACUGGAAUUCCUGGUGUAGCGGUGGAAUGCGCAGAUAUCAGGAGGAACACCGGUGGCGAAGGCGGGUCUCUGGGCAGUAACUGACGCUGAGGAGCGAAAGCGUGGGGAGCGAACAGG
This 253-nucleotide ribosomal RNA is filed under the name uncultured bacterium. RNAcentral describes it as "partial 16S ribosomal RNA". It matches the Rfam family "Bacterial small subunit ribosomal RNA", at positions 524 to 776 of the family's 1533-position model. The record is from RNAcentral.